GGAUAUAUCUAGAUAGGGUUUUAAAAGAAAUAAUGAUGAAAAAAAUAAGAUACUUAAAAAUAAACACUGACAAAUAUCCUAGGUAUAUCUAACAAGUUUCGGUAGCUGAUAUGUAUCAGAUCAUGCACAUUGAAAUAUCUGUACUACCUAGGUUGGCAAAAGGCCUGGGAUCAUAUCUUUUUAGGUCUAUUCUGAAUGUACAAUUCAAUUUCGGUAGUCAUUUUUCAUUUCAGUUGGAAAAUACAGUCGGAUAUUUGGAGUACUAUAAGUGAUCAAGGGAUAGUAACUCAUAUCACAGGAGGAAAUUUUGCACAGAUUUCCAUUACUAUUAACGGGUGGCUCCGAGCUACAAAGUUCAGAAGCAACAAGAUAAGGAUUCUAACUGGAUAAAUACAUAUUCAUGUUUACCUCCUCACACGCUUUGCAUCAGCAGGGUCUAUAUUUUCUGUUGUUUCCACUUCUCCUUCAAGUUCCUCAUCAUCCGACUGCUCUCCUGAUGAUCCACUGGUAGUUGGGCUCCCUUGGACGCCUAAGUUCUACAUGAAGGUAGGAGCUGGACCUCCACUUGAUCCACUACCUGCUUUUUGUUGCACCUUGGAGCCGUUUCCUGUCAUGCAUGGGUAGAUGCAAGAAGGAAAAAAGAAAGAAAGAAAGAAAAAGAAAUAUCUCAUGUUUAAAAAACCAAUCCACGCACCACAAUGUGCUCAUAAAAAGUAGCAAUCCACCAAUAACAUUU
RNAcentral lists this long non-coding RNA (736 nucleotides) under Phoenix dactylifera (date palm). RNAcentral's name for it is "long non-coding RNA (PDAC_LNC013443)". Lineage: Eukaryota; Viridiplantae; Streptophyta; Magnoliopsida; Arecales; Arecaceae. The record is from RNAcentral.